RNAcentral lists this non-coding RNA (46 nucleotides) under Trichobilharzia regenti. Lineage: Eukaryota; Metazoa; Platyhelminthes; Trematoda; Strigeidida; Schistosomatidae. The record is from RNAcentral.
GUAUUGCUGAAGAGUCCUAUUCUAGGAUGAAACAGCUGUCUAGUAC